GACGAACGCUGGCGGCGUGCUUAACUCAUGCAAGUCGAGCGGAAAGGCCCUUCGGGGUACUCGAGCGGCGAACGGGUGAGUAACACGUGAGUAACCUGCCCCAGACUUUGGGAUAACCCUCGGAAACGGGGGCUAAUACCGGAUACGACACAGCUUCGCAUGGGGUCUGUGUGGAAAGUUUUUCGGUUUGGGAUGGGCUCGCGGCCUAUCAGCUUGUUGGUGGGGUGAUGGCCUACCAAGGCGACGACGGGUAGCCGGCCUGAGAGGGCGACCGGCCACACUGGGACUGAGACACGGCCCAGACUCCUACGGGAGGCAGCAGUGGGGAAUAUUGCACAAUGGGCGGAAGCCUGAUGCAGCGACGCCGCGUGAGGGAUGACGGCCUUCGGGUUGUAAACCUCUUUCAGCAGGGACGAAGCGUAAGUGACGGUACCUGCAGAAGAAGCGCCGGCCAACUACGUG
This 462-nucleotide ribosomal RNA is filed under the name uncultured bacterium. RNAcentral's name for it is "partial 16S ribosomal RNA". It matches the Rfam family "Bacterial small subunit ribosomal RNA", at positions 28 to 507 of the family's 1533-position model. The record is from RNAcentral.